UUCAGCUGCAGGGAACAAGCAUGGAGGUGGUGGGAUCAUUACACUAUAACUGACUCAAGCAUGGAGGUGGUGGUAUCAUUACACUAUAACUGACUCAAGCAUGGAGGUGGUAUCAUUAUACUAUAACUGACUCAAGCAUGGAGGUGGUGGUAUCAUUACACUAUAACUGACUCAAGCAUGGAGGUGGUGGGAUCAUUACACUAUAACUGACUCAAGCAUGGAGGUGGUAUCAUUAUACUAUAACUGACUCAAGCAUGGAGGUGCUGGUAUCAUUACACUAUAACUGACUCAAGCAUGGAGGUGGUGGGAUCAUUACACUAUAACUGACUCAAGCAUGGAGGUGGUGGGAUCAUUAUACUAUAACUGACUCAAGCAUGGAGGUGGUAUCAUUAUACUAUAACUGACUCAAGCAUGGAGGUGGUGGGAUCAUUAUACUAUAACUGACUCAAGCAUGGAGGUGGUGGGAUCAUUACACUAUAACUGACUCAAGCAUGGAGGUGGUGGGAUCAUUACACUAUAACUGACUCAAGCAUGGAGGUGCUGGUAUCAUUACACUAUAACUGACUCAAGCAUGGAGGUGGUGGGAUCAUUACACUAUAACUGACUCAAGCAUGGAGGUGGUGGGAUCAUUACACUAUAACUGACUCAAGCAUGGAGGUGGUGGUAUCAUUAUACUAUAACUGACUCAAGCAUGGAGGUGGUGGUAUCAUUAUACUAUAACUGACUCAAGCAUGGAGGUGGUGGUAUCAUUAUACUAUAACUGACUCAAGCAUGGAGGUGGUGGGAUCAUUACACUAUAACUGACUCAAGCAUGGAGGUGGUGGUAUCAUUACACUAUAACUGACUCAAGCAUGGAGGUGGUGGUAUCAUUACACUAUAACUGACUCAAGCAUGGAGGUGGUGGUAUCAUUAUACUAUAACUGACUCAAGCAUGGAGGUGGAGGUAUCAUUAUACUGUCAAUUUAAGAGACCACAAAUUGAGGUCCAGCUAUGUAUAAUAAAGGUGUGUGAGUCUAAUCCAGGUGUGUGUGCGUGUGUGUGUGUCUAAUCCAGGUGUGUGUGUGUGUCUAAUCCAGGUGUGUGUGAGUCUCAUCCAGGUGUGUGUGUGAGUCAGUCUAAUCCAGGUGUACCUACCUCUGUGGCUCCGUGCUGCUUGGUCUCCUCUGACAGCCAAAGGGACAACACUGUGGGGUCUGACUGCUUCACACUGGGCUCAUCCAGAACCAGCAGGCCCAGACUGUCGGCUUUACCAUCCGGCCUCGGCACCUGAAAGUCACACAGAGUGAUGUCACGGUGAUGUCACAGUGAUGAAGGUGUCUGAGUGGAGUGUUCAGGUGAGUGUGAACCUUCAGGAAGGCGUCAAUGUCUCCAACAGCAGGGAUGAAGUCUGGGAUGAAGGGCUUCAGACUGUGUUCUAGUUCCAUAGACUGAGGCGUGUACCUGACAGGAGACAGAACUCGGUUAACAGAACCGAAGCAGAAGCAGGUCAGGAAAGAAAUAAAACUUGCCAAGCAGCAAUAUAAGGACAGGGUGGAGAACCUAUUCAGGACUGGCUGUUCACGACCUGCAUGGGAGGGGGUUAAAUCCCUGCUGGGGAUACAUCCCCAUAAGUUCAUCAUCUCCUUAAAUGGGAAGUCUGAUCAUGACCUGGCAAACGAUCUAAAUAUACUUUCAAAUCAUUUUAAUGUUCAUGAUUUUAGCCACGAAUUGUCUGUGUUUAAAGGUGCUGCCUUAGAUCCAAACAGUACAGUGGCAGUGCAUGUCAACAAGCAGAGGGUACAGAGGGUGUUCCAUGGUGUGAAGGAGAGGAAAAGCCCGGGUCCUGAUGGGAUUGGAGGUCGGAUCCUGAGGAACUGCGCCAAGCAGCUGGCUGACAUCUUCAGUUUCAUCUUCUCCUGGUCACUUCAGGUCCACAGGGUGCCCCGCCUGUGGAAGGACUCGAUUACUGUCCCUGUGCCCAAAAACAAAUGCACGAAGGCACUGAAUGGCUUUAGACCCGUGGCACUCACCUCCCUGGUAAUGAAGUCCUUUGAGAGGAUUGUGAAAGAGGAUCUCAUGAACACUGUCCAGUCAAACUUGGACCCUCUCCAAUUUGCAUAUCAGUCGGGGAGGGGGGUUGAUGAUGCAACAUUCACUCUUCUUAACAUGAUAUUGUCGCAUUUAGAUGGCGUCAAUAAUUUUGCCAGUCUGCUCUUUAUCGACUUUACAUCUGCUUUUAAUUGCAUUCAGCCCCACAUUUGGGCUGAGCGUCUUCUAAAUUAUAAGACUGACAGGAGUUUGAUUUACUGGUUGUUGGAUUUCUUAACUGUUAGAUCACAACGGGUCAGGGUCAAUGGCGUUCUGUCAGAUGUUCUCUUUUCCUCCACUGGCUCCCCCCAGGGAUGCGUCCUGUCGCCCCUUCUUUUUGUGUUAUACACGGAUGCAUGUCGGAGCUCAUAUGAGAAGCGUCAUAUUGUGAAGUUCGCCAAUGAUUCUGUGAUUGUGUCCCUUCUCAGCCAUGAUGACCCUGUGCCCGGGCCUGUAGUAGAGGACUUGAUUCAGUGGCGCAAGUCGUCCUUCCUCACUAUUAAUGUUCAGAAAACCAAGGAAAUGACAACUGAUUUUAGGAAGUCCCGUUCAGUUAUCGCUCCCCUGUCAAUUAACGGUCAAACUGUGGAAUCAGUUCAGUAUAGAUAUCUUGGGAUGAUAAUUGAUGACAGGCUGUUAGAGAUGUAAAGAUAAACCGAUACGAAUCGAUAAUCUAUUCUCACCUUUAGAGAUAUGAAUACAUCGAUCGGUGUGUCUCUGGAUCGAUCUAUAUCUGCUGUGGACCAGUUGAUGUCCCUUUAAAAACAUAUGAAUCGGUUUAUUUGAGCUCUGCUACUAAAGAUGGCCACCAAAGUCUCGCGAGACUCUCACGGUGACGUAUUACGAGAGUUUCAUUUUUGUAGCAUGUUAGAGUAACUCACACACAACAGCAUGGCUGAUAGCUCCGAAACAAUUUACAGUGCACCCUCAAAUCUCAAAUCGAAAGUUUGGAAGAUCUUUGGAUUUUUCAAGAAGGAUGGAAAGUUGGAUAAAAGGCCGUUUGUAAAGUGUGUAAAGCAGCGAUUAAGUACACCGGGAGCACUCAUCUAAACCUGUGCUCCUGUUCUGUUUUAUUCUCCAUUGUUUGUGGAGAUUUUGUAUUGGUCUGUGUUAAAGACCUAGAUGCACAGUUCACAGCAGAAUAGCAGCUGCUGUUUAGUUUACUGUGUGGCACUUCAUUGUACCUGGCACUUAUGUUACUGCGGUGUUUCAACACCUGAAACUUUAUGUCCAGCUUGCUUAGGGCUCUCUAUAUUAUUAUUGUUACCUGAGCAAACAGCACUACA
Molecule: long non-coding RNA, 3353 nt
Organism: Acanthochromis polyacanthus (spiny chromis)
Lineage: Eukaryota; Metazoa; Chordata; Actinopteri; Pomacentridae
Exons: 2
Source: RefSeq, a predicted model, not a curated record